This 22-nucleotide non-coding RNA is filed under the name Callorhinchus milii (elephant shark). Lineage: Eukaryota; Metazoa; Chordata; Chondrichthyes; Chimaeriformes; Callorhinchidae. The record is from RNAcentral. RNAcentral also lists the same sequence under 2 other names.
GUACAGUACUGUGAUAGCUGAA